RNAcentral lists this ribosomal RNA (498 nucleotides) under uncultured bacterium. RNAcentral's name for it is "partial 16S ribosomal RNA". It matches the Rfam family "Bacterial small subunit ribosomal RNA", at positions 29 to 523 of the family's 1533-position model. The record is from RNAcentral.
AUUGAACGCUGGCGGCAUGCCUUACACAUGCAAGUCGAACGGUAACGCGGGGCAACCUGGCGACGAGUGGCGAACGGGUGAGUAAUGUAUCGGAACGUGCCCCGUUGUGGGGGAUAACUGCUCGAAAGAGCAGCUAAUACCGCAUACGACCUGAGGGUGAAAGCGGGGGAUCGCAAGACCUCGCGCAAUUGGAGCGGCCGAUAUCAGAUUAGGUAGUUGGUGGGGUAAAGGUGCACCAAGCCGACGAUCUGUAGCUGGUCUGAGAUGACGACCAGCCACACUGGGACUGAGACACGGCCCAGACUCCUACGGAAGGGAGCAGUGGGGAAUUUUGGACAAUGGACACAAGUCUGAUCCGGCCAUGCCGCGUGCGGGAAGAAGGCCUUCGGGUUGGAAACCGCUUUUGUCAGGGAAGAAAAGGCUCCUUCUAAGAUAGGGGGCUCAUGACGGUACCUGAAGAAUAAGCACCGGCUAACUACGUGCCAGCAGCCGCCGUAA